AGGGUUUGAUCAUGGCUCAGAACGUACGCUGGCGGCACGCCUAACACAUGCAAGUCGAACGAAGUAGCAAUACUUAGUGGCAGACGGGUGAGUAACAUGUAGGUAUCUGCCCUUUGGCCUGGAAUAACACGAGGAAACUUGUGCUAAUACCGGAUAAGUCUUUACGGAGAAAGCUUUAUGCACCAUUGGAUGAGCCUGCACUAGAUUAGUUUGUUGGUGGGGUAAUGGCCUACCAAGACUGUGAUCUAUAGCUGAUUUGAGAGGAUGAUCAGCCACAUUGGGACUGAGACACGGCCCAAACUCCUACGGGAGGCAGCAGUGGGGAAUCUUGCACAAUGGAGGAAACUCUGAUGCAGCGAUGCCGCGUGAGUGAAGAAGGCCUUUGGGUUGUAAAGCUCUUUCGUCGGGGAAGAAAAUGACUGUACCCGAAUAAGAAGGUCCGGCUAACUUCGUGCCAGCCGCCGCGGUAAUAC
RNAcentral lists this ribosomal RNA (473 nucleotides) under uncultured bacterium. Its description in RNAcentral is "bacterial SSU rRNA". It matches the Rfam family "Bacterial small subunit ribosomal RNA", at positions 8 to 526 of the family's 1533-position model. The record is from RNAcentral.